Molecule: ribosomal RNA, 253 nt
Filed under: uncultured bacterium
Lineage: Bacteria
Description: partial 16S ribosomal RNA
Rfam family: Bacterial small subunit ribosomal RNA
Source: RNAcentral
UACGAAGGGUCCAAGCGUUGUUCGGAAUCAUUGGGCGUAAAGCGCGUGUAGGCGGUCCGGUAAGUCCGCUGUGAAAGUCGGGGGCUCAACCCUCGAAUGCCGGUGGAUACUGUCGGGCUAGAGUGCGGAAGAGGCGAGUGGAAUUCCUGGUGUAGCGGUGAAAUGCGCAGAUAUCAGGAGGAACACCAAUUGCGAAGGCAGCUCGCUGGGACGUCACUGACGCUGAGACGCGAAAGCGUGGGGAGCAAACAGG